This is a non-coding RNA of Pelobates cultripes (western spadefoot toad), 1054 nucleotides long. The record is from the annotation of a GenBank genome assembly. Lineage: Eukaryota; Metazoa; Chordata; Amphibia; Anura; Pelobatidae.
CAAUGCUGUGUAAUAUGUUGACGAUAUAAAUAAUUGUAAUUGUAUGAAUCACUGGAAUGUGUUGCAAGCAAGAGACUCCAAAAUCUCCCAUAGACUGUCCACAUGUAGGAGUGUUCCAAGAUGGAGGAACCAAGUACUGAUGACAAUAAACCCUUAGUAUAUUAUCAUUCACUGGCGGGGUACUAGGGGACAGUCCCCGCUGCUCUAGCAUGGAGAUGAUUAGAUCUGCGUCUGAGGGAAUGUAGAUUUAUUCCCGUGCUCCCUUUUACACACACUGCUGCUGUAGAAAGGUACGAUCUGAUGUCGUUUCUCGAACAUCCAUUGCUCUGUGUUAAAGCAUGUGGAGAUAGAAUGAGGAUGUAAGAGCUGUAUUGUUUGGAUCACAUAUCACAUGCUCCACCAGCAAGACAACAAAGGAGAAAAAUAGGGCUGCAUGAAGUACAGAGCUCCUGUUUACAAUGGCACUUUAGAUCUUUUUGUAUGAAAACUGCACAGCAUUUGAUGCCGCUUAUACAUCUGUCCAUCAGACUGCCUCUGCAUAUCAGAACCAUGCCACUUGUUACAAACCAUUAAACAUAGUCUGUUUAUAUUUUAACAUGACCGCACAUAUCAUAAUGCAGGUUUUUUUUACAUCCAUUCAAUCUUUACCAUGUGGUGGCAGAUUUAUUUAUAACAUUAACAAAGUGCAUUGAAAUGGCCUGAUUGUGAAAACUGUCAUUGAAGUAGAUAUUAUUAUGAUGUAAAUGAGGAUAUAAUCGAACAUCUGCUAAUUGAAAAAGUGAGGUACAGGGUUAUGCUAAAGAAAGCUGCAAAAAUUAAUGUUUUUUUAAAGCUAAAUGAAGGGCACAGAAUAAAUAUGAGGCCAAAAGUUAUGGCUCGAGUGUCCUAUUAAGUGGCAAUAAUUUUGCAAAAGAAAGUAAAUGCACAAACGAUUAUGCAGACUGGCUCACUAUGGCUAUCACACCAUAUAGAGGAGCAAUAUAGCAUCCAAAGGGUUUGAGAGCUGCAUUUAGCAUGAUGCUAAGACAGGCAUUAUUUCAGUUCACCAAUCAAA